UGAGUACGAGAUGCUACGGCAUCGAAGCAGUCUAUGUCAUACUUCCAAGAAAAGCUUGCACUGUCAUAAACAAAUAAUGCCUGUACCAUAACCGACACAGGUGGGUAGGUAGAGUAUACUAAGGGGCGCGAGAUAACUCUCUCUAAGGAACUCGGCAAAAUGACUCCGUAACUUCGGGAGAAGGAGUGCCUUAUUUUAUAAGGUUGCAAUAACAAGAUCCAAGCAACUGUUUACCAAAAACACAGGUCUCCGCUAAGUCGUAAGACGAUGUAUGGGGGCUGACGCCUGCCCAGUGCCAGAAGGUUAAAGAAGUUGGUUAGCAUUAGCGAAGCUGAUAACUGAAGCCCUGGUGAACGGCGGCCGUAACAAUAACGGUCCUAAGGUAGCGAAAUUCCUUGUCGGGUAAGUUCCGACCCGCACGAAAGGCGUAAUGAUUUGGAUACUGUCUCGGAGAGGGGCUCGGUGAAAUAGACUUGUCUGUGAAGAUGCGGACUACCUGCACCUGGACAGAAAGACCCUAUGAAGCUUUACUGUAACUUGAGAUUGAAAUUGGACUUUAUUUGCGCAGUAUAGGUGGGAGACGUUGAAAAUAUUCUUGCGGGAAUAUUGGAGUCAUCAGUGAGAUACCACUCUUAUAAUGUUAGAUUUCUAACUUUGUAUCAUUAUCUGGUCAAAGAACAGUCUCAGGCGGGCAGUUUGACUGGGGCGGUCGCCUCCCAAACGGUAACGGAGGCGCACAAAGGUUUCCUCUGAACGUGUAGAAAUCGUAUCUAGAGUGUAAAGGCAUAAGGAAGCUUGACUGUGAGACCUACAAGUCGAGCAGGGACGAAAGUCAGUCUUAGUGAUCUGACGGUGCUGAGUGGAAAGGCCGUCACUCAACGGAUAAAAGUUACUCUAGGAUAACAGGCUGAUCUCCCCCAAGAGUUCACAUCGACGGGGAGGUUUGGCACCUCGAUGUCGGCUCAUCGCAUCCUGGGGCGGUAGUACGUCCCAAGGGUUGGGCUGUUCGCCCAUGAAAGCGGUACGCGAGCUGGGUUCAGAACGUCGUGAGACAGUUCGGUCCAUAUCCGGUGUAGGCGUUAGAAUAUUGAGAGGAGCCUUCUUUAGUACGAGAGGACCGAGAAGGACAUACCUCUGGUGUACCAGUUAUCGUGCCAACGGUAAACGCUGGGUAGCUAUGUAUGGAGAGGAUAACCGCUGAAAGCAUCUAAGUGGGAAGCCCACCUCAAGAUAAG
This 1235-nucleotide ribosomal RNA is filed under the name metagenome. RNAcentral describes it as "bacterial LSU rRNA". It matches the Rfam family "Bacterial large subunit ribosomal RNA", at positions 1564 to 2808 of the family's 2925-position model. The record is from RNAcentral.